Molecule: non-coding RNA, 24 nt
Filed under: Arabidopsis thaliana (thale cress)
Lineage: Eukaryota; Viridiplantae; Streptophyta; Magnoliopsida; Brassicales; Brassicaceae
Source: RNAcentral
AGGCUCAUUAAGUCCUCGUUGCCU